GAUGAACGCUGGCGGCGUGCCUAAUACAUGCAAGUCGAGCGAACAGACGAGGAGCUUGCUCCUCUGACGUUAGCGGCGGACGGGUGAGUAACACGUGGAUAACCUACCUAUAAGACUGGGAUAACUUCGGGAAACCGGAGCUAAUACCGGAUAAUAUAUUGAACCGCAUGGUUCAAUAGUGAAAGACGGUUUUGCUGUCACUUAUAGAUGGAUCCGCGCCGCAUUAGCUAGUUGGUAAGGUAACGGCUUACCAAGGCAACGAUGCGUAGCCGACCUGAGAGGGUGAUCGGCCACACUGGAACUGAGACACGGUCCAGACGCCUACGGGAGGCAGCAGUAGGGAAUCUUCCGCAAUGGGCGAGAGCCUGACGGAGCAACGCCGCGUGAGUGAUGAAGGUCUUCGGAUCGUAAAACUCUGUUAUUAGGGAAGAACAAAUGUGUAAGUAACUAUGCACGUCUUGACGGUACCUAAUCAGAAAGCCACGGCUAACUACGUG
Molecule: ribosomal RNA, 497 nt
Filed under: uncultured bacterium
Lineage: Bacteria
Description: partial 16S ribosomal RNA
Rfam family: Bacterial small subunit ribosomal RNA
Source: RNAcentral